UGUGAUUCCAUAUCACACAUAUGGUUGAAAAAGUCCAUGAUAGGCAGUGCACAAGAGGUCUUGGCAUUUGAGUUUGGAAGAACAGUUUGUCCGCAGCUCGUGGUCGUGCAGUAGCGCUCUCGCUUCCCACGCCCGGGUUCGAUUCCUGGCGGGGUCAGGGAUUUUCUCUGCCUCGUGAUGACUGGGUGUUGUGUGAUGUCCUUAGGGAGCACUAAAGGCCAAAGUAGCACAACAAACCCACACAUGUUACAGGAAUUCAAGGAUAAUAUCCAUGAGUCAGUUCAUUCACUUUCUCAAAGAGAAGUACAUUGUGUGACAAAUAAUUUCUUCAGUAGAUGUGAGGAAUGUGUGGAAAAAAAAUGGCAUGUACUUCCAGCAUCUCAAUGCAUGAAAUAGACAGAAGAUAGGAAUGAAGUGCCAACCUGUUCUAAACUGGGAGUGCAGUCUGUAGCAAAUUAUGUGGAGAGUUUGUGUAGCAACAGUAGUAAUACAAGGUGUCCAACAAAGGACUUGCUAACAUUAGAAUUAAAUAGCAUGAAAAUAGUAGAACAGACAUUAUGUUUAUUGUGAAAGCAGUAAGAACUUUAUACAGAAGCUUUGAAAUAAUAGUUACAAAAC
Molecule: long non-coding RNA, 618 nt
Organism: Schistocerca serialis cubense
Lineage: Eukaryota; Metazoa; Arthropoda; Insecta; Orthoptera; Acrididae
Exons: 4
Source: RefSeq, a predicted model, not a curated record